GUCAGAAUCAACUAGUAUGGGUGCAUCUUAUUCUAAGAGUCUCAUCAAACUGCUUCUGGGGAUUGACAUACUACAGGUUCGCCAGUUGGUGAUUGAUAAGUUGUCGUCUAUUGGAGGAUUUACCUGUGAUAAUAAAGUUCAUUCUUCAUUCCAUAACAGCCAUGGAUGCACUUGAGGUAAUUUCUGAGCUUCGGGAGAAGUUGGAUCUGCAACAUUGUGUUUUGCCAUCACAGUUACAGGCUUCCCAAGUAAAAUAGAAAAGUAAAGGACGAGCAAGGAAAUCAAGAAAGCAGCGGUCAGAGCUGCAUUAUUCUCCUUUUUGAUGUAAUAAAGUCAGCUAUUAGAUAUGAGAAAACCAUUUCAGAAGCCUGUGUUAAGGCAAUUGAAGACAUGGCCUCAGUGUCUGAACACAAGGUGAUAUUCAUGUACUAUGCAUUUUAAGUAUUGCAGACUUGAGGCCGGGUGCGGUGGCUCAUGCCUGUAAUCCCAGCACUUUGGGAGGUCAAGGCAGGCAGAUAACGA
Long non-coding RNA from Cercocebus atys (sooty mangabey), 522 nucleotides. RefSeq lists it as uncharacterized. Lineage: Eukaryota; Metazoa; Chordata; Mammalia; Primates; Cercopithecidae. The record is from RefSeq and is a predicted model, not a curated record. The transcript is spliced from 6 exons.